This 452-nucleotide ribosomal RNA is filed under the name uncultured bacterium. RNAcentral describes it as "bacterial SSU rRNA". It matches the Rfam family "Bacterial small subunit ribosomal RNA", at positions 340 to 786 of the family's 1533-position model. The record is from RNAcentral.
UACGGAAGGCAGCAGUGGGGAAUAUUGCACAAUGGGCGCAAGCCUGAUGCAGCCAUGCCGCGUGUAUGAAGAAGGCCUUCGGGUUGUAAAGUACUUUCAGUCGUGAGGAAGGUGUUAAGGUUAAUAACCUUAGCAAUUGACGUUAGCGACAGAAGAAGCACCGGCUAACUCCGUGCCAGCAGCCGCGGUAAUACGGAGGGUGCGAGCGUUAAUCGGAAUUACUGGGCUAAAGGGCACGCAGGCGGUUAAUAAGUUGGAUGUGAAAUCCCCGGGCUUAACCUGGGAAUGGCAUUCAAGACUGGUUAGCUAGAGUCUUGUAGAGGGGGUAGAAUUCCAUGUGUAGCGGUGAAAUGCGUAGAGAUGUGGAGGAAUACCGGUGGCGAAGGCGGCCCCUGGGACAAAGACUGACGCUCAUGUGCGAAAGCGUGGGGAGCAAACAGGGAUUAGAUACC